AAUAUUCAUUUCUUGAAGAAAAUAUUUAAUGAGAUAUCAAAACAGACAUUGUUGCACUGUUCCAAAACUAAAACUGCUGACGUAGAACAAGUAAUGUGCUUGCCAUGGCUUAUUAAAACAAAACAAUAAGUAUACUGGGUCAGACAGGGCAUAAUCAAGAAAAGGCAAUAUCUUUCUGGCUUUAGAAUCAAAUCAUAAAAGUAAUGGAUAACUCAUGGUUAGAAAUGAUCAGGGGUGAUAGUUCACACAGAUUAUAAAAUAAUUGGCAUUCUCUCAAGGAACUGUAAGAUCCGUUCAUUCCAAAAAAAAAAAAAAAAAAGAUUUUAUUUAAACAUCCAGAAAUAAAGCAAUACUAUGUUGGUCUUGAAAUAGCCCCGAUCAAGAUCUAGUUUUUUCCCAUUUGUAUUAAAAAAUAUUAACGGAACAUUCCAAUACCUUUACUUAUAAUACUCGACUGUUUAGAAUUUGUGCUCCACUCCCCGAAGCACUAAGAAAGCUGUUACGUAUCUGUAAUUAAAGAGGGUGUGAAGAGGGUCCCUCGCCUUGACUCUUUUCCAUCCAAUGAAGAUCUUCACUAGUGAUGAUCUUCUGGUCAAUCCAGUGCUUCCUACAGAGAAACAUAAGGAGGCAGGGUGCAUGCACGUCAUUUGCCAAACUGGACUGACAGUGCUUUUCGUAUAGAAGCCUUGAAACCAAUGUAUCUUUAUGAGAAACCAUCAAUUCUGUCUUGAGAAUGUGCUAAAGGGGACUGAGACAGGGAACCCUCCAGGCUGGUUGGUUAACAGUUGGGAGGUUUUAUACCAACAAGGAUGAGAAAAGUGAUGAUUGCUCUUGUAAUUUACACUUUUAUAAACCUGCAGGAACACUCUACCAUCCUGUAAACCAUAUACACAAGUUGAUGUGCUUAAGGUAUUUGUCUGUAGGUGCACAGGGGCAUCAUAUUCCGGCUAUCGGCAUCAGCAAACGGCGUGUGGCGAGAGAGAGACAGACGCCGUUCCCACAUGUUCCUGCAGGACUCGAGCCCUGGGAGGGCAAAUUGGUACUGGAAACCAGGAGGUAGACUGGUCCUGAUUGUCAAAUCCAAUACAGGCAGAAGUGAAGGCGAAGUUAAGUCAACAAUGAAGAAUGAGGCAGGUAGACUUGGUUUAUACUUUGUAAGAUCGUCCUGCGAUCAGAUGUCUGGAGAUCCAGACAGCGGAAUGUCAGCAAGAGGGAGGGCUCAGAAAUGAAGGAAAGGUUUAAGAGAAGCAGGAAAAGGAACAGUACUUUGGGAUACAGGCACAGACACUAAAGAAUAAUAAAGCAAUAGAUGGAGUGUAAUCAGGGGUUUUAUAGGCUGGGCCAGGUCAAUGGCACAAUGGACAGACUGGAUGCUCGGGUAAAACUUUGUUGCUUGCAUGCAGUUCCUGAAACUGGAUUGGUGCUGGUGUCUCUAUGCAGUUGCUCAGCUCCAUUCAGUGUGACUAGUGUCUGCAUGACCUAAUACCACAGGGGAACUGGAGAACAGGUAAAGGGGAUGACAGGCAGCCAUGACAAAUAUGAUUACACAGAUAGACUUUUCAGGGCAGUCAGUACAGAAUGUUUCUACCCUACAGGCAUGCUAUCAAAAAUAGGGUACCUUGAAUAAGCCAGGUACUCGGUUAACCACUUUGUGCACUGUGCCAUGAUAUAUUAAAUAAAACUUUGAAAUGACUGAAAAUCAUAUAUACAAACUGCAAUAAAUAGUUACAACUAAAUGUCACAGGUAAAUGUUGCCGGCAUAUCCCAUUAUGGUUAUAACCAAACAAUUUAAGCAUAUCUCAUUUUAAAACUGACCAACAUUGCGGAUUAAAGAUAACGGAAGCCACAAAUUCUAAAACUGACAAACUGCAAAAAUGAACAUACAGACACCAUGCAAGGUUCAGAGAGGUCAAUGUGCAAUUUAAAAUGUAAAUAAACAUACCUAUAACAGAAAUUCCAGAACAGUAUAGAGCAUCCUUCUAUAGGCUAGAUGACAAAACAAACAAGAAAACAAAACAAAAUAAAACUUGCACUAAAAAUCAUAAAACAGAAACAACCAGUGGUUUUCUGGUAGAGACAGUGAAGGUAUGGUGCAAAGACCUGUAAAUCUAUACCCUCUAACAGGAAAUAACAUAAUAAAUGUAAGCCAAUAAACAAUAUAAAUUUCACAAAAACUGUCGUUCCCCCACUGCUGACACCCAAAUGGAAACAAACAUUGUAUAAAUGAACCGAAAACUAUUAACCGUAGUAGCAGAGGCUAUUUGACUAUUUAUAGCUAUUAUUGCUACACACUAUUAAUGAAUUUCCCAAUGCUUAAGAAUGUUUAUUUUGGCACACAGUGGUGUAGACUGAAUCAGACCAUUUGUCCUAACACUUGGUAGAUGGUAGGACAUUGAACCUAGAAAGUAUAACGUGAAAAAUGUGAACCCAUUUUAUUUUUUGGUGUUUAGUAAAUGAAAUACUAAUCUGUUAGAUGAUGUUGAUUUGAGAAUAACAUUAAGCAUUUUGUAUCUCACAUAUCUGAGUUAAUGGUCUUUUAAUGCAUGUACAUAGCCCUAUGCUUUUCUAUUUCCAAAUAAUGUAUGUUUAUACAUUCAAAGAUUUAGCCAGGAUUUAAACCUGCCUUAACGGUUUUAACCCAUGUAUUCUUUACAACAUAUUUGCUGUGUGAUAGUGGAAAUGUCUCGUUUUGCUGAGAUUCUAGAUAUAACACGAGACCUUGUUAGCUCUGGACUUUCUCAGCUAUAGAAGUCUGCACUUUAUCACAUUGGUUUUGCAAUGUAUUUUUGUGUCUUUAUUGACUAACUUUGUGUAAAACCCAGCCAAGUAUGUGGAAUAAAAGAGUUACACGUAUUGAAUAA
This is a long non-coding RNA of Pelobates fuscus (common spadefoot toad), 2861 nucleotides long. RefSeq lists it as uncharacterized. The transcript is spliced from 2 exons. Lineage: Eukaryota; Metazoa; Chordata; Amphibia; Anura; Pelobatidae. The record is from RefSeq and is a predicted model, not a curated record.